GGAUACUUGCACUUCAGUUGGCCCACUUACCGCUUUAACUUACCCGCCUGGGAAUUCCGGCCGCAAGGUUAAACUUCAAAGGAUUUGACGGAAAUUCAAAGGAUUUGACGGAAACUCAAAGGAUUUGACGAAAUCUCAAGGGAUUUGACGGAUCUUCCAAGAAUUUGCGGGAAUCUCAUCGGAUUCUGCGGAAGGUACGGGGAUUACUAGAAUGAUGUAGGGGAUACUGGAAUUCCUGGUGUAGUGGUGGAAUGCACAAAUAUCUGGAGGAACACCGAUGGCAAUGGCGGGUCUCUGGGCGUUAUCUGACGCUGAGGAGCGAAAUCAUGGGGAGCGAACAGGAUUAGAUACCCUGGUAGUCCAUGCCGUAAACGUUGGGCACUAGGUGUGGGGGACAUUCCACGUUUUCCGCGCCGUAGCUAACGCAUUAAGUGCCCCGCCUGGGGGAGUACGGCCGCAAGGCUAAAACUCAAA
Molecule: ribosomal RNA, 474 nt
Filed under: uncultured prokaryote
Description: bacterial SSU rRNA
Rfam family: Bacterial small subunit ribosomal RNA (bases 73-474)
Source: RNAcentral